CCUACGGGUGGCAGCAGUGAGGAAUAUUGGUCAAUGGGCGUAAGCCUGACCCAGCAAAGCCGCGUGAGGGAUGAAGGUUCUAUGGAUCGUAAACCUCUUUUAUAAGGGAAUAAAGUGCGAGACGUGUCCCGUUUUUUAUGUACCUUUGAAUCAUGAUCGGCUAACUCCGUGCCAGCAGCCGCGGUACUACGGUGGAUCCAGGCUUUAUCCGGAUUUACUGGGUUUAAAGGGUGCGUAGGCGGCAUAUUAAGUAGACGGUAAAACCCUGGGGCUCAACCAUAGAAUUGCUGUUGAAACUGGGAGGCUUGAGUAUGUUAGAGGCAGGUGGAAUGCGUGGUGUAGCGGUGGAAUGCUUAGAUAUCACGCAGAACCCCGAUGGCGAAGGCAGCCUGCCAAGCCAUGACUGACGCUGAUGCACGAAAGCGUGGGGAUCAAACAGGAUUAGAUACCCGGGUAGUC
RNAcentral lists this ribosomal RNA (459 nucleotides) under uncultured bacterium. Its description in RNAcentral is "partial 16S ribosomal RNA". It matches the Rfam family "Bacterial small subunit ribosomal RNA", at positions 338 to 795 of the family's 1533-position model. The record is from RNAcentral.